This is a long non-coding RNA of Leptonychotes weddellii (Weddell seal), 609 nucleotides long. RefSeq lists it as uncharacterized. The record is from RefSeq and is a predicted model, not a curated record. Lineage: Eukaryota; Metazoa; Chordata; Mammalia; Carnivora; Phocidae.
UCUUUGCAACUCACAGCACAAUUGAAGCCCCUGUGUCAUUUCUGGGGUUUUAGAUAGCAACUAACCCAGCCCGCUAACAAGCGUUACCCAACAGAGAAGAGGGGGCAGAACAAACCACCAGACUCAGGACAUAGGCUGUCGGCAAAGGAAGGAGCAGAGCAGGGGAAGAGUGCCACCAUUCCUGGGUGGCAAGAAAGGGUCCUACAAUAAGAAUCUCUCCACACAUUGGGAUAAAUAAAUAUCUGAAUCACAUGGAUAUUACCUGAUGACUGUAGUCAGUACUUUGGGAGAAAAAACUAGGCUAUGAACUCAUAACACCUCUUCUAUUUCUGGGGGUUAACCUCCAAUACACAGGAGUAUAAACCAUAUGAGCCUUUUUCAGUUAUGGAUUGCUAGGUAAAUACGCUGUGACAACAAAGUUCCAUUCCCCCAGAGUGUCAGGAAGGUCACCUUGGUGGCUGUGUGAAGCAGUGUGUGAAGGGGACCACACCUGAAGACAGAGAGACUAGCUGGAUGACUAUUAGUUAAUUCAACCGAGAGGAGCUCUGUGAAGGCACUAGCAGCAAGGAUGGAAAGAAGAAACAAACUUUCGGAUGCCUGGGUGGCUCA